AGCCCACAUGGUUGUCUUUCCUUCUGCUCCCAGCCCUCUCCCUCCUUGCAGGGCUGGGUGCAUCCUGUGGCAAGGGGCUCACUUAGGUGCUUCCCCUGCCAGGCUGAGCCUGUGCCCACUCUGUCCCUAGCUGGCGUUCUCCGGGUUGGUUGGCAUUGUAUCCUGGAAGCGGCCAUUCACUCUAGUGAUCUCUUUCUUCUCCUUGCUUUCGGUGCUCUGUGUCAUGCUCAGCAUGGCUGGUUCUGUCCUCUCCUGUAAGAACGCUCAGCUGGCUCGGGACUUCCGAGAAUGCUCCAUGAACCUGCUCUUCAGUGUCUGUGGGCUUACCAUUUGUGCUGCCAUCAUCUGUACCCUCUCUGCUAUUGUCUGCUGUGUCCAGAUCUUCUCCCUGGAUCUGGUGCAUGUGCAGCUUGCCCCUGAACGCUCAGUCUCAGGCCCCCUGGGGUCCCUGGCUUGUACAUCUUCGCCCCCAGCUCCUCUCCUCCACACCAUGCUGGACUUGGAGGAAUUCGUCCCACCUGUGCCCCCACCACCCUACUACCCU
RNAcentral lists this long non-coding RNA (544 nucleotides) under Rattus norvegicus (Norway rat). Its description in RNAcentral is "long non-coding RNA NONRATT015439". The record is from RNAcentral. Lineage: Eukaryota; Metazoa; Chordata; Mammalia; Rodentia; Muridae.